RNAcentral lists this small nuclear RNA (190 nucleotides) under Coniosporium apollinis CBS 100218. RNAcentral's name for it is "U2 spliceosomal RNA". It matches the Rfam family "U2 spliceosomal RNA". From Rfam's summary of the family: U2 is a small nuclear RNA (snRNA) component of the spliceosome (involved in pre-mRNA splicing). Complementary binding between U2 snRNA (in an area lying towards the 5' end but 3' to hairpin I) and the branchpoint sequence (BPS) of the intron results the bulging out of an unpaired adenosine, on the BPS, which initiates a nucleophilic attack at the intronic 5' splice site, thus starting the first of two transesterification reactions that mediate splicing. The record is from Rfam by way of RNAcentral. Lineage: Eukaryota; Fungi; Ascomycota; Dothideomycetes.
AUUACAGUUGCCUUUUGGCUUAGAUCAAGUGUAGUAUCUGUUCUUUUCAGUUUAAUCUCUGAAACGAGUCUACGGACUCAUUUAUUGAUUAUACUUAUUUUUGCAACUCGGAAGACGGCCGCUGUGCUUGCACAUGUCGCCCUCCACCGUGUCGCCAGUAUUGCACUGCCUCUGGCUGACGCGAAGCUUU